AGCAGCCGCGGUAAUUCCAGCUCCAAUAGCGUAUAUUAAAGUUGUUGCAGUUAAAAAGCUCGUAGUUGAAUUUCGGGAUCAAUAUGCCGGUCAUGCCUUGGUAUGCACUGGUAUCUUUGAUUCCUCCCUUCUGACGAACUUUGAUGUCAUUAAUUUGGUGUCAUAGGGAAUCAGGACUGUUACUUUGAAAAAUUGAGUGUUUAAAGCAAGCUCACGCUUGAAUACAUUAGCAUGGAAUAAUGAAAUAGGACGUUUGAUUCUAUUUUGUUGGUUUCUAGGAUUCGACGUAAUGAUUAAUAGGGAUAGUUGGGGGCAUUAGUAUUCAAUUGUCAGAGGUGAAAUUCUUGGAUUUAUUGAAGACUAACUACUGCGAAAG
This 376-nucleotide ribosomal RNA is filed under the name uncultured Glomeromycotina. RNAcentral describes it as "SSU rRNA". It matches the Rfam family "Eukaryotic small subunit ribosomal RNA", at positions 569 to 951 of the family's 1831-position model. The record is from RNAcentral. Lineage: Eukaryota; Fungi; Glomeromycota.